GGUAAAGGGUCUGCUGGCUAGUGCAGGAGACACAAGAGAUUCGAGAUCCAUCCUGAGAUCAGGAAGAUCCCUUGGAGUAGGAAAUGGCAACCCAUUCCAGUGUUCUUGCCUGGAAAAUUCCUUGGACAGAGGAACCUGGUGGGCUACAGUUCAUGGGGUGGCAAAGAGUUGGACAUGACUGACGGUUGGCCAUACAUACAUGCAUGCAGGGUCUACCAGCAUUUAUUUAGGCAAUCCCCUGCCCCUGGAUGUCACAGCCCUGUCCUGGAUGCCCCUGUAACAGCCAAGUUGCAGCCUGUGCUCCCCCUUAGCUAACGUGCCAGGGCUCCGGGCAGUGGAGGGGACAUUCCAGGCUGCGGUGGGGACACCUCCAUCUGCCCUCCCAGGUGACCUAGGGUCCAGGCAACUGUGCUGUGCCAAGCUUGCAAUCAGACAGACCUGCCGUCUGGCCUGGCCUUGGCACUUGCUGUUUAUAACCUCCAGGGGCAGGGAUUUCCUUCCCUGAGGGCUGAGCCUCAGCGUCCGCAUCUGGAAAAGAAGGCUGUCCUUCCAACCAGAGAGGAUUUUCCGAGGAUCAGCUGGAAGAGGAAGCAGAAAAGAGCCUUGUGAAUCUCCAAGCUCGGCCCAAACGCUGACACCUGGUCAUCCCAUGCCCUUCAGUGGGGACCAGCCAUGCUCCCCGUGUGCCUCCUUCCUUUCCAGAAGCCAGCACUCUGCUCUUCACCUGGCUCUCCCUGCACUGACGGCAUCAUCUUGACCUUGAUGGCAGAAAUGCCAACCUGGGUGACCAACUCACUUGUCCACUCAGCCCAGGGCUGGGUCUGUGGGAACCGUCAGGUAAAUGUACUGCGGGUGGAUGGCUUGCUUCAUAAUGAGGGAAAACAACCCUGGGUUGGGUUUAAAGUAAGUCUGCCCUUGUUCCAACCCCCUCUAACCCUGCUA
This 942-nucleotide long non-coding RNA is filed under the name Capra hircus (goat). RNAcentral describes it as "lncRNA (ENSCHIG00000005541.1)". The record is from RNAcentral. Lineage: Eukaryota; Metazoa; Chordata; Mammalia; Artiodactyla; Bovidae.